UGAGCAAUCUGCCCUUCUCUUCGGAAUAAGCGUUGGAAACGACGUCUAAUGCCGAAUACGACCUCCUUUCGCAUGAUCGGAGGUGGAAAGCUCCGGCGGAGAAGGAUGAGCUCGCGGCCUAUCAGCUAGUUGGUGCGGGUAAUAGCUCACCAAGGCGAUGACGGGUAGCCGGCCUGAGAGGGUGACCGGCCACACUGGGACUGAGACACGGCCCAGACUCCGUAGGAGG
This 229-nucleotide ribosomal RNA is filed under the name uncultured bacterium. RNAcentral describes it as "partial 16S ribosomal RNA". It matches the Rfam family "Bacterial small subunit ribosomal RNA", at positions 118 to 348 of the family's 1533-position model. The record is from RNAcentral.